GCUGCUGUAGCUCAGUGGUAGAGCACUUCCUUGGUAAGGAAGAGGUCAUGGGUUCAAUCCCCAUCAGCAGCUCCA
This 75-nucleotide transfer RNA is filed under the name Planctomycetaceae bacterium. Its description in RNAcentral is "tRNA-Thr". It matches the Rfam family "tRNA". Rfam says of the family: Transfer RNA (tRNA) molecules are approximately 80 nucleotides in length. Their secondary structure includes four short double-helical elements and three loops (D, anti-codon, and T loops). Lineage: Bacteria; Pseudomonadati; Planctomycetota; Planctomycetia; Planctomycetales; Planctomycetaceae. The record is from RNAcentral. RNAcentral also lists the same sequence under 1 other name.